CAGAAGUUGAACCAACGGCAUUGCCCACUCUCCAAACACACACACGCACUGCACCGCCACACGCAUACAACUAUAUCGUAACACGAAGGACUUUCUCCGUGUUCUCUCUUUGUUACGAACAGUUGAUUGCCAUUUUUUUUUGUUUUAUUCCCUUGACGUUGCUUGUCUUCUGCCUCUGGUGCGCUGCUGCUGAUCUUCUCUGUGGUUGUGUGUACCGGCGCAGCUCUUUCUUUCUCUCGUUCAGACUAAAGGGCCCCCGUCAUCGAUCGCCAUACGCACUAAGACGCUGAGCUACUCCAUACCCUGCUCCGCUCACCCCUUCUGUCCCAAAUAUACCCCUCUCCCACCUCACUCUCGAGCGCCCCACUGCCCAUUUUCAGCCUCGCUGCCCGGAAAUCUCUCGAUUGCUUACUUGGUAGGCGACACCUUUGUGCGCGCGCCGUGUGUACCCGUUCGGUGCACUUUCCCCUUCUAUUCCUCUUUGAGGCGCUUAUAUAUUUAUAUACAUCAUUUGCCGUUCAUCUCCGAGCACUCCGUCGGCUCAUAUUUUUCACGCGUGUCUCGCACUGCUUCAGACCACGCGGUGAGCCUGCGACUGGGCCCAAGAAGGAGUCGAGUAGACUUUAAUUCAGGUUGUACGGCAGAGUGUGGACGCCGCCUGACAAGUAAAGGUUUCCUUCGCCGGACAGUUUCUGUACGCCCCCGCCUCCUUUUCCGUUUGCGUUUUCUUUUUUUUGUGUGGACUUUUUCGCCCUUUUUGCUUCGAUUUGUUUGUGAGAGUCUUGCCUCCCCUCUCCCUCGACGCCCUUUCCCUUUCGCACACCUCAGGUGACUCUCCACUCGCGUGCCCCAUCUCUCGCUCCCUUCACCUUGGGCGUGUGCGGUGCUCACUCCUCCUUCAUCUCUUACCUUUUUUCCCUUUACGGUGCGAUCCUCGAUCUUGUGCUCCUUGCCCGUCCGCCUACCCCUCGCUACCUCCGGAGACCUUCGCCCUCUGUGUGCGUGUGAAAGAGAAGCCUCUCUGAAUCUGCAGCUUCUCGUGUCCAGUUGACACGGCCGUGGCGGUUGUGCUCUCCGACUGCACAGAUCUUCGGUUUCUUUAUCUCCCCCCCAUACACGUACGAAAAUUGCUCACAAGCAUGUCCAUUCGUGCGGUGUGUUGGCUUCAAUCGAAGCUCGGCCUCGACAUUGGCGGUCGUAGCUCCGGCGACGAUGGAAGUGGCACCCUUGGCAGCGGUGAGCUGGCCGGCUUCUCCACGACGCAGAACCGCAGCUACAGCACAGACCCUGUCGCGACCGUGAACGGCGACCCUGAACCUAGCCGGAGCGGUCGUGGGAUUGGCGGCGGCGCCGGCACGUUUUCCGGCCUGGCCAGCGGAUGGGAGUCAAAGCUGGGCCUGGUGUGGAGGCAGGCAAGCGACAAGGCGACGCAGUACUGGAACACCAACAUGCGCCGUCGAGGGAGCAAAGACCCAUUCGGCUUUGGGCCAGCGGGGGCGCAAGGCGACUUCGGCGGCAACACCGCGGCGGGUGACAACCCCGAGCUAGACGAAAACGGCCUUCCAGUGACUCGAAACUGGUACUACUACGACGCGCAGCUUGGCCGCUGGACUGUGUCGCGAGAUGCCCCGGAGAGUGUGCAGCAGGAGUACUACGAAAAACUCGAGGAGGCGGAGCGGGAGCGGCUGGGGCAGAAAAAGGUGGGGCCGCCGCCGCCGACCGCCAUUGCUGGAGGGCCGCCACCACUUCUCGGGGCAGCCGGGGGUGGUCACGGCAGCCAAAGCCCACACUACGCGAUCCCGGAUUACUUCGGUAACGCGGGAGCAACCUCAGUGGCACCGCCGCAGCAGGCGCAGCCCUACGGCGUCUACGGCGGCACCCCCCCGCAACAUGCCCAAUCAACCUCUCCCGGGUUGUCUCCUCCGUCGGCAGCGAUAGGCACGCAACCUGGCACCUACUACCCGCCUACCCCGCUGAUCUCCAGCACAACUGCUUCGGCGACCAUCCAGGCUACAACGUACAGGCAGCCACUAUCGGCCCACUCGCAGGUGGCACCUCCGCCGCCGCCUGCGCAGGCAUACUUGCCAGCGAUGCCUUCCAUAUCAAUGUCGACCUACCCCGUCGCCGGAGGUGCGUAUCCCGCCGCCUCCGCUUCACCGACGUCUAACACGCACGCAUUGUCAUUGCAACCGCUGCCGCACAUGGCCGUGUCGGAGCCGCCAAAGACAGCGAUGACGGUCUCCUCUCCACCACCGCCUAUCCUGGCCUCACCGACGCCGUCACACCUACUCUCGCAGCCGCACGUCUACUCGUCUCCGGCGCACAACGGCAUGCCCGUAUCUCCGCCAGCUCCUGCAGUGUCGCAGCAAUACGCGUCACCGCUUCUUCAGUCGCAGUCGACGGAGCACAACCGCUCUGCCUCGGGCAACAGCGGCGCAGGUGUGUCUUCUCUGUCCUUUGCGCACGCGAGCGCACCUGCACCUGCGCCAUGCGCAAGCGCUGCUCCAGACGCAUACCCGUACGGCGGUGGCAGCGUCAGCAAUAACGUUCAGGAUUCAACUACAGCCGUUGCGAGCGUCGGCAUCCCAACCCCUUCACAGACGUCCUUUGUCCUGAAAGCGGCUGCACAUGGGCUACAGCCUCCGCCACCGACAAGCGACCCUUACGCCUAUCCCGCACCCGUAACUACAGCAGCGACCGCCCAGGCGUUUGCGCCUGCUCCCGCCGCACCCGUGCAGCCUCAACCGCUCAAGGCGGAGGCGAACGGCUACGAUGAGCACCCCUCUGCUCCCUCGAUGGGCACCUUCCAGACCACGAGCGCUGCGGCAGUGCGACCGAGUGCGAUCGGACUGCCGCCGCCGCCAUCCUUCAAGCCAUUUUCUCCGUCUUAAUGCACGCGCACCAUGACUGCGCGAGCAACACAUCGUGAGAGUGCGUGAGGCGUCACAGGCUGAGAGAAGGCGGAGCAACAGACACACAGACAAAGAAAACGGAGACGAGCUCGUGCGCACGACGAAGACGCGCUCAAAAACGAAAACGCUCGAAAUGUGCCGCUCACACCUUUCCUGUUUGGAUAUCCCUGCCCAUGUGUAGGGCGCGUCUCGGACGUGUGGUUGUGUGUGCUGCUGUUUGUGUGCUUCCGUCUCUUGAGGCCUCUCCUCCUCGCCUUCCAUCCUAAGCACGGGCACAGCUACGUGUAUAGAUCGGCACACAGAGACACGUGCCUGUGCAGCCCCCCUGUCCCUCCUCGUCUUUUCUCUCUCUCUGCGACCGCCUUUCCCCCCUCCGUGUUUUGGUGUGUGUGUAUGCGGCGUUCGCGUCUUUUUAUGUUUUUUCUUUUGUACCGCAUCAAAAUCGUUUUGGCUCUCCUCCUUCUUGCCAUUUUGCCGGCCACCUCUCACCCCUGCCAUCAGCGCCUGGCAACUCACCCUGUGUGGGGCAGGCCAAGCAGCCUGCAGCCUGCCCUCGAGUGCGGUUGCGGACUCUCGGUGCGGGCGGACAGGUCUGGGCUGGCGCUGCGCCGAAGAGGCGUUAUGGCCGUGACCACGUUUGCACCAGCUCAGUGCGAGCUGUGCCGAUGAUUGUACAAACAUACACACCCACUUCCUGUUUUUCUGCUUUAGCUGCGUUGCGGUAGUGCUGAGCAUUGGUCUGGGCCUAGCCUGCGCUGUACGCAGUGGAGUUGCCGUGGGCUGGACGACGCCGAGCGGCAUUGCUUGGUGUGGCUUCUUGACAUGGCUGUGGUGCAACGGAGGCAGAUGAGGGGCGACCGUAUGCGCAUCUUCGCUGACUCGGUUUGAUGCUGCGCUGAAACGAACAAGGAAAAGAAGCUCUGCGUGCCGUGUGGUGCAGGUGUCUUCCUACGCUCUCGCGCAAUUUUUUUUUGUGCUUAUGUAUGCUUCACUCCCUUUGCUGCGCUGGAGUUUUUCUCUCCUUUCUCAAUGCCCAUGGCGAUCGCGGGUUUCGGCCCUCCCGCCUUCGUGUAUAUUUCAGAUGUUCACGGUGACGUGCGACCGUCACCCUCUCUUUCUGUGUAUUCAUGGUGAUCUCUCUUUGCUGCUCUUGUCGGUUCGAGGAUCUGUUCCAUCAGAGGUGUUGAACUGCUCCUCAUCCCGUUUUUCCUUUUUUCUGUUGGCACCCUCCCCUCACCACCCUGCAAGGUCAUUUAGAAGGGGGUACGUCUGAGUCUCUGCUGCGCGGCAUCUCUUUCACUCUGCAGCCCUCCCCCCUCUUGCUCAGCUGUGUCUUUUGUCUUUCCUUCAUCUCUCGGUGUCUUCCCUGCCCUUGCGCGCCGGCUACCGCUACAGGCGUCUGCUCACCUUCGCACGACUAGCCCUGCCGACCUCGCCAUCUUCCUCGCCCCCUGCUCCGGGAAAGCCCUCUCUCGCGGUUGGCGGGUGGAGGGGGAGGAAGGGAAGGCGGAAGAGGGUUUGGUUGCAGUGCAUUGAGGAGAGCAAGCGCGCCGCUUCUCGUGUGCUUGCAUGAAAGCCGCUUGUUGUGGCGAAAGCCGCGGUUGUUUCACACCCAAGAUGCUAGCGAGGCCGUGAGGAGGGGAGGCGCCACAUCUGUGCAUGUGGAGGGCUAUGGUAAGUAUGUGGGGCGUGCCUCGUCGAAGUGAGGCUCCGGUGUUUGUGCGCCUCUGCGCUGGGUGUGGGUACCGGUAGUAUGUGUGGCAUCGCAUGCUUUGUUUCCCGUGUGGACUUGCUUUUUCAGUCUUUCUCAGGGACUCUGCCACUCGACAGGGGCCAUUUUUCUUCCGUUGUUUCUGUUCAGCUGAUGCCGAGCAAGCGAUUGCGGGCAUGGCAGGCGAGCGAGAUGGAAGACACACGUUCGUGUCCGUGGCGGCGCGGAUUUUGCCGAUGUCGCCUGCGAGUACGUGUGGGCAGUGAGACAUUCAGUUUUCUUUCAU
This 4909-nucleotide unclassified non-coding RNA is filed under the name Leishmania donovani. Its description in RNAcentral is "gene:LdHU3.27.1640(CDS-product:hypothetical_prote in_conserved)". Lineage: Eukaryota; Euglenozoa; Kinetoplastea; Trypanosomatida; Trypanosomatidae. The record is from RNAcentral.